AUCCAGAUGACGAGUUUCAAAUAGGACGAAAUGCGCAUCCUGGAU
RNAcentral lists this non-coding RNA (45 nucleotides) under Trichobilharzia regenti. The record is from RNAcentral. Lineage: Eukaryota; Metazoa; Platyhelminthes; Trematoda; Strigeidida; Schistosomatidae.